RNAcentral lists this ribosomal RNA (394 nucleotides) under uncultured bacterium. Its description in RNAcentral is "partial 16S ribosomal RNA". It matches the Rfam family "Bacterial small subunit ribosomal RNA", at positions 338 to 729 of the family's 1533-position model. The record is from RNAcentral.
CCUACGGGUGGCAGCAGUGAGGAAUAUUGCUCAAUGACCGGAAGGCUGACCCAGCCAUGCCGCGUGAAGGUCAGUGGUCUUCGGGCGUUAAACUUCUUUUGUGCGGGAGCAAUAAUGGUCACGUGAGGCCAGACGAGAGUACCGUACGCAUAAGCAUAGGCUCACUCCGUGCCCGUAGCCGCGGUAACACGGGGGAUGCAAGCGUUAUCCGGAAUUAUUGGGUUUGAAGGUGGAGUAAGCUGGUAGGUAAGUCAGAGGUGAAAUGCCCCCGCUCAACGGGGUGAAGUGCCAUUGAUACUGGCUAGCUGGAGUGCGGAUGCCGUGGGAGGAAUGUGUGGUGUAGCGGUGAAAUGCGUAGAUAUCACGCAGAACACCGAUUGCGAAGGCGUCUCAC